This 650-nucleotide ribosomal RNA is filed under the name uncultured bacterium. RNAcentral's name for it is "bacterial SSU rRNA". It matches the Rfam family "Bacterial small subunit ribosomal RNA", at positions 42 to 671 of the family's 1533-position model. The record is from RNAcentral.
UCAGGCCUAACACAUGCAAGUCGAGCGGAAACGAGUUAUCUGAACCUUCGGGGAACGAUAACGGCGUCGAGCGGCGGACGGGUGAGUAACGCCUAGGAAAUUGCCCUGAUGUGGGGGAUAACCAUUGGAAACGAUGGCUAAUACCGCAUGAUGCCUACGGGCCAAAGAGGGGGACCUUCGGGCCUCUCGCGUCAGGAUAUGCCUAGGUGGGAUUAGCUAGUUGGUGAGGUAAGGGCUCACCAAGGCGACGAUCCCUAGCUGGUCUGAGAGGAUGAUCAGCCACACUGGAACUGAGACACGGUCCAGACUCCUACGGGAGGCAGCAGUGGGGAAUAUUGCACAAUGGGCGCAAGCCUGAUGCAGCCAUGCCGCGUGUGUGAAGAAGGCUUUCGGGUUGUAAAGCACUUUCAGUCGUGAGGAAGGUAGUGUAGUUAAUAGCUGCAUUAUUUGACGUUAGCGACAGAAGAAGCACCGGCUAACUCCGUGCCAGCAGCCGCGGUAAUACGGAGGGUGCGAGCGUUAAUCGGAAUUACUGGGCGUAAAGCGCAUGCAGGUGGUUUGUUAAGUCAGAUGUGAAAGCCCGGGGCUCAACCUCGGAAUAGCAUUUGAAACUGGCAGACUAGAGUACUGUAGAGGGGGGUAGAAUUUCA